CCUACGGGAGGCAGCAGUGGGGAAUAUUGGACAAUGGGGGGAACCCUGAUCCAGCCAUGCCGCGUGUGUGAAGAAGGCCCUCGGGUUGUAAAGCACUUUCAGUGAGGAAGAACGCCUGGUGGUUAAUACCCAUCAGGAAAGACAUCACUCACAGAAGAAGCACCGGCUAACUCCGUGCCAGCAGCCGCGGUAAUACGGAGGGUGCGAGCGUUAAUCGGAAUUACUGGGCGUAAAGCGCGCGUAGGUGGCUUGAUAAGCCGGUUGUGAAAGCCCCGGGCUCAACCUGAGAACGGCAUCCGGAACUGUCAAGCUAGAGUGCAGGAGAGGAAGGUAGAAUUCCCGGUGUAGCGGUGAAAUGCGUAGAGAUCGGGAGGAAUACCAGUGGCGAAGGCGGCCUUCUGGACUGACACUGACACUGAGGUGCGAAAGCGUGGGUAGCAAACAGGAUUAGAUACCCCGGUAGUC
This 465-nucleotide ribosomal RNA is filed under the name Vreelandella stevensii. RNAcentral's name for it is "partial 16S ribosomal RNA". It matches the Rfam family "Bacterial small subunit ribosomal RNA", at positions 338 to 795 of the family's 1533-position model. Lineage: Bacteria; Pseudomonadati; Pseudomonadota; Gammaproteobacteria; Oceanospirillales; Halomonadaceae. The record is from RNAcentral.